Molecule: ribosomal RNA, 214 nt
Filed under: uncultured bacterium
Lineage: Bacteria
Description: partial 16S ribosomal RNA
Rfam family: Bacterial small subunit ribosomal RNA
Source: RNAcentral
GACGAACGCUGGCGGCGUGCUUAACACAUGCAAGUCGAGGGCACUUUGAGGGCAACCCUGGAGUGACCGGCGAACGGGUGCGUAACACGUGAGCGACCUUGCCUCGUGGUGGGGGAUAGCCGGCCCAACGGCCGGGUAAUACCGCAUAUGGUGCUGACUCCGCAUGGAGACGGCAGCAAAGCCCUGGAGCAAUCCAGUGGCGCCACAGGGGGGC